RNAcentral lists this ribosomal RNA (572 nucleotides) under uncultured eukaryote. RNAcentral describes it as "bacterial SSU rRNA". It matches the Rfam family "Eukaryotic small subunit ribosomal RNA", at positions 4 to 567 of the family's 1831-position model. The record is from RNAcentral.
CUGGUUGAUCCUGCCAGUAGUCAUAUGCUUGUCUCAAAGAUUAAGCCAUGCAUGUCUAARAAUAAACCCUUGAACGGUGAAUCUGCGAAUGGCUCAUUAAAUCAGUUAUUGUUUAUUUGAUGGUACCUUACUACUUGGAUAACCGUAGUAAUUCUAGAGCUAAUACAUGCGCCAAGCCCUGACUUCGGAAAGGGUGCAUUUAUUARAUUCAAACCAUCGGUCCGUCUGGGCAACUGGGCGUGGCCUUUGAUGGUGAGUCAUAAUAACUUAGCGAAUCGAAUGGCCUUGAGCCGUCGAUGCUUCAUUCAAAUUUCUGCCCUAUCAGCUUUCGAUGGUAGGAUCUUGGCCUACCAUGGCUAUAACGGGUAACGGGGAAUUAGGGCUCGAUUCCGGAGAGGGAGCUUGAGAAACGGCUACCACAUCCAAGGAUGGCAGCAGGCGCGCAAAUUACUCAAUCCCGACACGGGGAGGUAGUGACAAUAAAUAACGAUGCUGGAUUAUUCUUAAUCCGGCAAUUGGAAUGAGAGUGAAUUAAAUCUCCACUCGAGGAACCAUUGGAGGGCAAGUCUGGU